Molecule: long non-coding RNA, 678 nt
Filed under: Gossypium barbadense (sea-island cotton)
Lineage: Eukaryota; Viridiplantae; Streptophyta; Magnoliopsida; Malvales; Malvaceae
Description: long non-coding RNA (GBAR_LNC004374)
Source: RNAcentral
UUCCCAUGCAUGGACGGCAUUAAUUAGUUGCAGGAGCUUGCAUGCAUGGCAUUAAUUAGUUAAUUUUUCGUGUUCAACAGCAGCAAUAAAGGAGUUGCUGGUGCUUUUUCAUAUGGCCAUUUAAUGGACGAAAUUAAUUGUAUUGUGCAGCAAAGGAGCUGUCCAGCAUGCGUGGGAUGGUCAUAAAGGAGCUGCUGAAUUUCUCCUCCAUGCAUGGACAUCAUUUAAAGAAGAGUUGCUGUUUUCUAUUUCCCAUGAGCCAUUUUCGUGUUCCUCAAAUGCCAUAAAGGUGCCGCCCAAUUGAGAGAAUGAAUGAGCAGUAUUUAAAAGGGGAGUUGCAAUUAAAGAAAGUGGGCUGCUGGUUUCAAGCUUCCCUUCGAGUAUUGCAAGGGUGAAUCAUAAAUUCACAUUGCAUGGCCGAUGGAGUCUCCAAAGCUGCUCAUUAAUGCUUCCAAUAAUUUUUCAGCUAAUCAAAGUAAAUUUUAAAUAGCUCAUCAAAUUGUUGGCCGAACUUAGCUUGUCCCUUUCAGUUCCCAACGUAGAUCAUUUCUCUUCCCCAAGUUGGCCUUUGAGCUCCCCAAGAAACCAUAAGAGCUUUCACACAAGUUGGAUGAAUUAGGCCAAUCUAAAUAAUUCUAUUUAGCCAUUUCAGCUCAACCAUCACCUCAUUAAUUCAAG